AUAAGAUUGACCUUAACAUGUUCUUGUACAGGCUUUGUCUUUCCUGGGGAAGACUGUGUAUAGAAGAAAGACUCACUGCUCUGCUGUUGACCUGCAGGUCUUUGCAAUUCUCAAAGUAUAUGACAAUCCUAUAGGUCAGAAAUGUCUUCAGGACCAUGAAUUCUUCAGGGAACAUACAGAGCUUGGUGGGGAGGAGUGUGAGCUGCCAAGAGGGAUUUGAUAGCUGAACGGCUCCCUCCUCCUUCACCUGAAAUGCUCCUUCCCCCUCCCAUCGAGAAUCAAAGAUGGUGCUGGAAUAAAGCAGAGAUAAGGAAUGCUACUUUCUAGAAAAGUAUGCAAAAGGAGAUAUAACCAAUAAAGUGCUUUUAACAUCCAAUUCACACAACCCAUUUUACAGACGUCACUAUCAUCUAUAUAAACCUUGUACAGUCUCUUCCUGGUUUA
Hyla sarda is the source of this 444-nucleotide long non-coding RNA. RefSeq lists it as uncharacterized. Lineage: Eukaryota; Metazoa; Chordata; Amphibia; Anura; Hylidae. The transcript is spliced from 3 exons. The record is from RefSeq and is a predicted model, not a curated record.